UACAUGAUACUAAUUACAGCAUAAUUAAAUGAAAGGAUUUUGAAUCAAUUAACCAAUCUUUAGCCUAAAACUUUAUAUAACAAGGUCUUCUCAUAGCAACUUCAUUAAAACCAUUUUCCUCCAUAGAUCUUGAAGACCUAACCCAAAGCACUUCCAAAAUUUAAUUAUAUCCAAUUAUUAUUAGAUAUAUCCAAUAAUAUCACUUCUCCUCUCCCUUUAUAGUAUUUGCCCUUCAGAGUCUUUGGAAAAUGCCACAAGAGGAUCUUCCCUACUCCAUUUCCUGCCUUUCGUUUCAUUGAUUCUCUCUUCUAAAGUCAGAUAAGUACACAACGAUAUCAGAAGGAUGCAGUUUUUUCAGCUUUUACAGCCAAUAUAAUGGUAUUUUCUAGCAGAUGCUCAAAUACUGCUCAUGGAUUGUUUGCAAGUUUCAUAGACAUAUAAUUUCAAGCUGAAAGAAAAGAGCUCCCAUGCUGAACACUGACAAGAGGCUUCUCUAACCCACUGGAUGGUGACAGCCUGGAGCCCUGAUGUUGUCUUGUGCCAGAGGACAAUGGCAUAAGCUGUGGAUCCUAACCACUGGUCUGGAAAACAAAACCUACCUUAUGAAGAACCGGGCUAAGCAGAUCUCGGAGUUUCUCCACCUGCCAACAUGAAGUGUGUCCUGAGUUCCUGAGGUUGGCGGGUCUUUGGCUGCCCCGCCACCAAUGUGUACAGGUGCACCAUGUGAACUGCACUGCAGGGAAGCCUCACUCUGUGUCUGGGCUCCAAGCAUCUCUCCGGAACAUUCUACGCCAGGAAAUGAAACAGGGAGAGCCAGCAUGAGCGCUAAUACCUUCUGACAUAGUGACUUAUUCCACAUACUCUUAAAUCAAAUGAAAAUGUGAAUCUUGACGUCCUUCUGAUACAAUUCUCCCAAGUAAUAAAAAAGCACUUGACUGUGAAUAUGACAAUGAAGGUGACAGUAGCUCACCGCAUUGUUUCUGCAGUGUCAGAUUAUAGCCUGGAUGAUGCCUCUCCAGAUAAGGGACAGGAAGAUCUUUCUCUGGAGAAACUGAAACACCAACUGGGGAUCCCCAACAAAAAUAGGUCCAACUUCUCCAUUGUCCUUCCACCAGUCUACAGCUCUGCCUGCCCUGAGAACUUCCAAUCAGCAUUUGGGUGCUUCACCCUCCAAUAGAGAGAGACACACAAGGAUCGUCAGAAGAGAUCAUGGCACAUUUCAUACUCUGUAAGAAUGUGUCUGAAGACAAGGCUGGCUAUAGCUUUCGAGAAGUCAUGUGACAAUUUUGUGGCCGGUCCUGCGAUGCGCCUACGGCAGAGGCAGUAAGCAUCCUCAUCCAUCCAUACGCUUCUUGAGUACCCACUCUGCCCGUGGAAUUAUACCGGAGUCCUUGAAUGCUGGUGAAUUUUUAAAUCUAGACGAAUAAACACCAACACAGUAUGGAAAGAGAAGUAGGAUUAUUGGGAUCUAAUUUGGGAAGCAAGCACGUAAAAGAAUCAUUCAUAAGAUGCUGGGUGAAGGGCAGCUCCCACGCAGGCAUGUUUCUACAGGCUGGGAUACAACAGUAAAGAAACAAAGUCUUUACAUCCAUCUAGUGUUAAAUUGGAUGGAGGAAUAGAGCUUUGAGAGAGACAGAGGGCCGGCAAUACACCCUGUGAUGGAAGGAUACUUCAGAAAUCAGUGAUGGCCAGAGUAAAGGGCAAAGUGCUGUUUGCUGAAAGAGUUUAAUCAGGGGAGGUAUGUCUUGUGAAUCAAUACAAUCCAGAGCACUGAUACAAAGAAGCACGUCUACUGUCAUCUGUAGCCUUCAUGCACGCUGACGGAUGGGCAGUCCAUCGACCUCUAUGUGGGAUGGAUUGAUGCUUUGAGACACCUCAGUUCUUGUUCAGACCAGUCCCUAUGACACAUAUCUGGUCAAAUCACACUUUUAAUAUCAUGAUGAUCUUUAAUCUCUGACAGUAAAUGGAAGAGAUCUUUUUAAAGCCUAAGCAGUAAUACAGAAAAAUGAGCACAAAAUGAAAUGGUUGGAACAAUAAAUGCAAAAACAUCCAUUUCCCUGCCCCCGCCCCGGAGUUCUAACUGGUCCCAGAUGUUCAGUUUGCGCCCCUAGAUAGCUACGUCUGCAGCCCCACAAGUUUCCUAGUGUAUGAGGAGGUAGCAAAAGACAAUUUGACCCUUUCCAAUAUGUGAGUAGAUGGACCUAAAUUCCUUCUUAAGAGUGAUUCUUGAUGACCGGUUGCCCUGGGCUAGUGUUGAAUUAUGGCUCAUGUAUGUGUUUCCCAGGGACUGUGCCUGGGAUAUUCCACUUUGAACAUCAAAUGCAUCUCUUGGAGGACAGCUAGCUCCACAUACUCUUCAGAACCAAAUGAAAGGGACCGAUGAAAUCAAGAGUUCCAUUCCUGGGCCACUCAGUCAAAGCUGGCUUGCAAAGGAGUAUCUUCAAACUGUCUGGGUUGCAUUGGGUACCACGCACUGACCGACGCAAUGGAGUGGCCUCCUGCCAUCCUUCCUGCCAAUGUUCAGCCCACACCUAUGCCUCUUCCUUGGGCAGCUUGUGUCCACUUAUUAAGACUUCCAUUUACAAAUGGUCCCGUCAUCCCUGACCUUUCUGAGAGAUGCCUUCCAAAGCAUUACAGGAAGAAGUCUGAUUCCCUCUGGAUAAUCCCUGUAAUAGACUGCAUGCUUGUGUCCUCCUAAAAUUUGUAUUUUGAAAUCCUACCACAGUGUGGGCAUUAGAAGGUGGGGCCUUUGGGAAGUGAUUAAGGUUAGACGAGGUCAUGAGGGUGAGGCCCCCUUGGUGGGAUUGGUGUCCGUAUGAGAAGGAAAGAGAGCUGAGCAUCCUGUCUCUGCCAGGAGAGGGCACUUGCCAGCCUGGCACUGCCGAAACCCUGAUCUCAGACUCACAGCCUCCAGAACCAUGAGAAACAAAUGUCUAUUGCAUAAACACCUAGUGUAUGGUAUUUUGUUACAGCAGCUAGAGCUGAUUAAGACAAUAUCCAUGCUUAGGGAUGUAAGAGACUUUACAGCAGGUCUAAAUUCUAGUUCGUAGGUCCCUGCAAAGGAGUAUAUAUAAAACACCGAAGAGAGCCUGGGGUAGCAUUUCCCCUCUGCUUUCAGAAAUACGAGCUUUCUGAAUUCUGAUACUCUUCUUAUCAAUUCCAUAAGCUCACAUAAUAUUAUACUCCUUAGCCAGUGGCUGCAACUAUACUUUUUCAAAGUAGGCUUUUUACGGACAUGAUAGGGGCCCCUCUCAAUUCUCAGUCAUAUUUUUCUCUAUGAUAAAAACCCUCACUGGCAGAGAAAUCCUUGACUACAAAAAAUGAUAUCUGUCUAUGCCCUGCUGCACAACAAUGAGACUGGAUUUUUCCUCCGUGGCCUAUGCAGUCCACUCUCAUUACUUUAUAGGUCUAAUACAUUGAUAGCGUAGACACCCUGUCUAAGUCUUCCUUUAUUUGGAAGGUAAAUUAAUGUAACCCAGGUGGAGUGAAUUCGGGCAGAAAUGAUAAUGGUUUGAGUAUAGGCUGAUGAAUAUUCUAGCUCAGCCCUUGGAGUAUGGCAUGCCAAAUGUGACCAGGAUGAAAGUAGCAGAUUUUAUUAAGACUCAUCAUACUUGGAUGAAAAAGGCACCAUUUUCCAUGUUGUGUUUUCAUUGGGUAGGGGACAAUGUGCAGACAGUAAGGGUCCUUCCCACGGCUGCACGGAAAAUCACUGGCAAAGCUGCCUCAAUGCCAUGCACAUGGCCUGAGACCCAUGCAGGUCUGCACAGCCUCCUCCCAUGCUAGGGGCCCAUGCUUGGUUUAAUGUUCUGCAGCCAUUUUCUUGAAAUGCUUAAUAAUUUCUGAACAGAGGGCCACACACUUCCAUUCUUCAUAAGUUUUGAGUAUUUUGCACACAUCAUUUGGACUUCAUAGUCUGGAAUUACAAAUUAUACCUCACAGCUGAAUAUUAUUAAGAACCUAGUACAAUGAGGGGAGAAAUGACUUAACAUUUUCCAGUUGACAGGUCAAGCCCCGAAAGUAGCGGCUCCAGGGACUUGUAAGAAGGUGGGUGAAUUCGUAUACAUAGUUCCUAAAAAGGAAGGAGAUGAGGCGUACCAUAAAAAGUUGCUGUAGUGUAUGCAAAGGCUUUCUCAACCCUGGCAGUAGUAACCUGAGAUUUUUGCCCAAAGUUAGAAACUUUGGAAUUCAUUUAAAAUCAUGAACCAGAAGCAGAAUUUGCAAUGUUUGGGUUUCUGUACUAUAAAGUACUAUAAAUAAAUUGGCUGUGCAUUUAGGUCUUUGAAACUUUAAGUGCAUUUAAAUCAUAAAGUGUGGGUAGGACUGUUUGAACUGUGCUAAUCCAACUUUUAUUAUGAAUCCAAAGUGAAUGAGUUUUAGUUCGUUUUUCUUGAAACCUAUGGAUUCUUGGUGAUCGCAAAGGCGUCAUCAAGUUACCGUACAUUUAACUCCAUUCUUUACUUAACUCCAACAUGGCCCAACGUAACACAUUGCUUGACUGAUCCGCCUAUAUGGUGUCAUUCUUAUUGCCAAUCUUAUACUUUGCUUUGAUAGAAUUAUUUUAAAAAGCAGAGUAUCAAUGUGAUAACGUCCUAUUGCUUAGCGACCAUUUGCCUUUUACCUAUUUAGUGUCAUUUUUUUUCAGAUCGUGGUGCAAGAAAAUACCCUCCUUUUAUACCUUGUCUUUCUCUACUGCAGUGGUUUUCAAUUAGGGGUGAAUUCAUUCCCCAGGGGGUCUUUGACAAUGUCUGGAGGCAUUUUUGAUUGUCAGAAUUGGGGAUGCUACUGGCAUUUAGUGGAUAGAGGACAGGGCUGCUGCUCAACAUCUUCUAGUGCCCUGAAAAACUUCCCCAACAAAGAACUCUCUGGCCCCACAUUUCAAUAGUGCCAAGGUGGAGAAUCCCCAUUCUGUAGCUUAGAUUCCACCUGCAGUGUUAGUUUCUGCUGUCCUAAAUAAGGUGAAAAUGGGAAUGCUCGUAUGUAGCUCAGCUACUUGAUUACUGACAAGGCAAGUUUCAGCUAGACUGGCAGUUAUUUUUUAAGGUAAAGAGCCAGGAGUGUUCCCUGCAAAAGGUACCGAGGUGUAGGCACUAGAGUUGUUUUGUACAAGGCAAACUUUGCCUAGAUUAGUCUAAAGAGUGAGGCUUUCUUUGGGUCUCAGUCUGUGUUAAUACUCUGGCAUUCUCUGUAGAAGCAUGGUUUGGGAAUUUGUUGAGCGAGAGUAGCAGUUUGAAAUUGGGUUUGUCUACGUGACCAUUGAAUUCUGUAAAUGUUUGUGGAGCAUCACAUAGGCCAUGGGCAUUAGAGUGAGUAUUUAAGGAAUAUAAAUAUCAGGCGUUGUCCCUACCAUCAACAAGGGCAAUGGCUGGCCCUCCAGGAGGCAGAGAGAAGCAUGGAGGGGAAAUAUUUUCACCUCCCAAGCAGUUGUGACUUUGGGGGUUUAUGUUCAUUCCCAUUUCAGUAAUGGUUCAAUGGUCUGAUUUACAGUAGUAAAGCCAAGUCGCUGGGCUUUGGAGGGACCUGGUUAGAGGCGUAAGAACUCCUUUUGCAUUCAGUAAGCUGGAAGUCAUGUAGACAUAGUCAUGGUGUGAAUGAGUGUAGCUCUGAGAGAUUAUACAGCCGGGAUGUCAUUAGGUCUUUUACUAAUCAGGGACUGCUGAUUUUCUCAGUUCUCCUCUGCUGCCGGGGCACAAGUGGGUAACUUCUCACCAUCAACCAGUCAUCUAGGUACCGUCACCUUUUCCAUAAGAUCAUGAAAUCCGGUGUGAGGGAAGACUGAGCCAAAUUUUAUAACCCAAGUAAGUGUCGCUUCUGCUGGGCAGUACAUAGCUGAUAUGCUUGAUGCAGAUGAGUCCCCACCAGAUGCCAAUGGAAAAUAAGGGUGGCAAUGUAUCCGAGGUGACUUAAAGAAGGUCUUUGAUCAAGUGAGUGUCAGGUGACCUCUGAGCUCUCCCACAGUCCUUGGGUUCCCAAACGGUGCCCUUCUCAGGGCUUUGCUAGGUCUGCUCACUCAAGUCCAGGGCAGCCGGCCCUCCCCGUUCUUGGGCAACCUUCCCAGAAUCGAUUUCCGUACUCUUCUGAUAAGUUCCCUCCUUCUUUCAUUUCAAACUUCAGUUUCUUAUUUAGAUUCAAGGAAAACCUUCAUUCUUCAAAAAUUGUCUCUUUUCUUCUCCUUUCCUGUCAAAUCUCAUCUCCCUUCAACCUGAGCCUGAAACCCAAUUUUGUAGAUCAGCACUAUCCUGUAGCAAUUCAGUGCAAACCACAUAUACAUAUUUAAAAUAUUCCGGCGAACACAGUACAUAAAUUUAAAAGAAACAAGUGCAGUAAAUUUUAGAAAUAAACUCUAUUUAACUCAAUUUAUAAAAAAUAAUACCACUUAAACAAUUGUGUGUUGGGGUUGUUGUAAAUAAUAAAUAUUUAAUAUUAAGAACACUUAUUAAGUGCUGUUAUUGCUGAUAACAUGGUGACAGCUAUUGUUUAUAUUUCCUUUGAGCAAAGUUCCAGGCUUCUCUCUGAUCCUUGUAUAUUUAUCCCUGGUCUGGGCAAGGGCCUGCCGGAAUUUUGCCAUUAUGGAGUACAUUUCAGAGAGCAGAGAGAAUGUGGGAUUGAAUAUGUAUAAAUAGAAAGAUGCAUAUGUAAAAUAUCCAUGACUUCUUGAGGCUCUGGCAUUUCUAGAAAUCUUAACAUGAAAGUCAUACAAUUAAUAUUUUGGAUUACAGAUAAUAAUAUUUCACAUUAGCCAAUUUACACACAUUCCUUGAAAAUAAAAUCUAAGCAUUAUACUAGUUUUGACAUUAAAUAAUUUUACAAUAAAAAGAGAUUAUUUGUAGACAUUCUGUCUCACUGAUUCAAGUAAUACUUUAACCUUGACCAAUCGCCAUUUCUGAGUACAGAGUCUAGAGCACUGUAUCAUGAGUUUCACUAAUAUUUUAUCUUGAUUGAGCUUUUAUCAAAACAGGCCUAUUAGCUAGAUAGUGCUUUAGUAACACCACAAACAUCGUGGCUCAAACAACAGAAAUUUAUUUUCUCCGAGUUCUGGGGGUUGGAAGCCCAGAAAAGGUUGGUUUCUUUUGAGGCCUUUCCGCAUAGGUUGAAGAUUUCUGACGUCUUGCUGUGUCCUCGUGUGGUCUUUCUUCUGUGCAAAUGUAUAUCUACAUCUUAAUUUCUCUUCUGAUGAGGACACCAGUCAUAUUGGACUUGGGCCCACCUUAAUGCCCUCCUUUUAUCUUGAUUAAAAGCCCUGUCUCCAAAUGCAAUCACAGUGUGAGGAAUUGGGGGUUAGCACUUCAACAUCUGAAUUUUGAGGCUGUGCAGUUUAGCUCAUGAUGUCAUUUAAGAGAGAAUAUCUUCUGUCUUUACCUAUCCACCUUCAUUAGCCAUUUAGCUGUGAAACCAUCGACACAAGUCACCUAUCCCUUUCUAUUGACCACGUUAGAAUUCUGAGGGGUUUGUUCUCUUUCCCCAGACAUCUCUCUCUUUGAUUAAUGUCUACCUUGCAAACACGUUUUCCUACCAAUCUGACUAUGGCUCAGCGAAGAAAUUCUCUAAAAAAAAAUUUUUUUUUUUGCUUGGGAUAUUUUAAAAUGUAUAACGACACUUUCUACAUUUAAUUUCAUGGACUGGAAAGAUGAUUUGGUUUUGAUUUUUUUGCAUUAAUUUUAAGAUUGAGUAUCUCAGAAAUCACUUGGACUCUGCUUUUAAUUCUCAAACUUGCUUCAAAUACGAAAAUUGUUUUUCUAUGGCCAUAUAAUCAAACUAGUUUUAGACCAAAGACUCAUAUUUAAAUAAUACUCUUGCGGGUAUCUUGUGUUCUCAAAUCCAUACAGCUGAUAAAAGACUGAAGAGUUAAUAUUUGACCUUUCCCCCUUACAGUUGCCAUGGUCUUCUUUAUGUCCUGGGUCAAAUCUCUUGUCCUCUGUUUGCUCUUGUGUCUUUUAGGAAAGUUCACAUUACACCCAAACUUUCUCUGGCUAUGCGUGUAUUCACACUAUGUUAAAGGAGGUUCAAUGCACGGUGUAUAAUCCUUAUAAGUCUCAGGAAAACUAAUUGAUUAGCAGUUAUUAUGUAGAGUUCCUUUUCCUCAGUAUCUGUCUACAUAAUGUCAAAAUGAAAUGCUGGGUUGAAAUGAGAAAAUUUUGUCUAUCAGUGAUAUGGUCUGACUGCAUGAUACUCCAAGAAAACACUCAAUUAAAUUUUCUUAUGGUGAAGCUAGUAUUAUUUAUAGACUUUUAGGGGGUGGGGAGCGGGAACCUAUUCUUAGGUGUUUUUCUGUUACUGGCAAAUUUCUAUUUUUUCUAGUCUGUCCUAAGACUUAUGCAUGGCUUCUUUGAGUCAGGGGUUGAUUUUUUGUUGUUUGCUCAUUUGUGGAUGAGCUCUUAAGUAGCUGGCCAUUAUAGAGUUAGAUUUUGGCCCUAUAGUGAUGUUCUUCUAAACAAGUUCAGUGAUAUUAACAGUUAGAAACAAGAUACACAGGGUUCUUUUUUAUUAGAUGUUUGGACUUACCUACUUCAAGUGCCGUGUGGGCAGUUAUUGGCCCCCAAUUCACACAAGGCUUUGUCUGUGAGAGAGUGAUUCCUUACCACUGCCCGUUGGGUGAUGGCUCCCGCAGCUUCUAUUUGGAGGCAUCAUAUGAAGUUGUUCUUCCCAGUCUCAUUCCUUGAUUCCAUGUCCUUCUUGGCUUUUCCACUGGCUCUUUGUUUUGCACGAGACAGUUUGGAGCCAUGGUGACUCAUCGUUUGAGUAGAACCAUCUUUCAAGUGCCAUGAGAUGACCACUUCUCUGCUAAUGUGGUCCGUGCAUUUCACAAACCCAACCUGAGUGUGUUUGGCCGGUCAACAUUAAGUACGGCUUAGGCAAUGGUGAGGUAUCAUUUGAAAACAUACAUGUUUUAUUUUAGAAGGUUCAGGCUGCAGGAUAAAUAGAAGUUUGAUAUGAGGAGCACUGCAUAUGUUUUCAGCUUGCUCUGCAUCUGUGCCACAGUGUUGCUGCCCAUUUUUUGCCAAGCUUCUAGAAGGACAUGUCUGGAUCUGGUAGGAUGGGGCUUGUCAACUUGAUUAUAUCGAGGAGACCACUGCCUCUCUUGCUUAUUGUAUGAGAGAUUCUUUAUUGUUAUCUUGUUUUCUGUAAUAGUGGUUCACAUUUGUUCACAGAUGCACUCAUUCAUCUACACACACAUGAGUACGCACGUUCGGCACAUGCACAUCUGCCUGCUGUGGGGCACUGCGUGGGCACCGGUGAUCACAAGGCAAGUAACAGAGACCAUUCUCAGUGGGCUCACAGUGUUCUGGGAGAGAAGCACUUUCAGCCUGCUAUAUGGGAUGAUGUGCAAUCAGUCCAGCCUGUACCGGUGCCCUAAUGAGAACAUGUCUCCAUGGUGGAGUGGGAAUUAGCCAAAUAAAAUGUGGAGAAAAGGUCUUCUAGGCCAUAAAAGCAUAAGUGAAGGCAGAUGACGAGAGACAAUCUUGUGCCUUGGAGAAUUAUGAGCAGUCGGUACUACUGGAGCUUCAUCAUGAAAUAGCAAGAGGGGCUGGUUGUUGAUAAGAGACGGAUCUGGAGAAAUAGGCGGCUGGUCGGGUUACCUGGGUGGCUCAGUCGGUUGAGUGUCCAACUUCGGCUCAGGUCAUGGUCUU
This is a long non-coding RNA of Felis catus (domestic cat), 9626 nucleotides long. RefSeq lists it as uncharacterized. The transcript is spliced from 11 exons. The record is from RefSeq and is a predicted model, not a curated record. NCBI's taxonomy places the organism in Eukaryota, Metazoa, Chordata, Mammalia, Carnivora, Felidae.